Molecule: ribosomal RNA, 406 nt
Filed under: uncultured bacterium
Lineage: Bacteria
Description: bacterial SSU rRNA
Rfam family: Bacterial small subunit ribosomal RNA
Source: RNAcentral
GUGGGGAAUAUUGCGCAAUGGGGGAAACCCUGACGCAGCAACGCCGCGUGAAGGAAGAAGGUCUUCGGAUUGUAAACUUUUGUCUUCAGGGACGAUAAUGACGGUACCUGAGGAGGAAGCCACGACUAACUACGUGCCAGCAGUCGCGGUAAUACGUAGGUGGCAAGCGUUGUCCGGAUUUACUGGGUGUAAAGGGUGUGUAGGCGGGAUUGCAAGUCAGAUGUGAAAUGCCGCAGCUUAACUGCGGAGCUGCAUUUGAAACUGUAAUUCUUGAGUAGAGGAGAGGUAAGCGGAAUUCCCAGUGUAGCGGUGAAAUGCGUAGAUAUUGGGAGGAACACCAGUGGCGAAGGCGGCUUACUGGACUCUAACUGACGCUGAGGCACGAAAGCGUGGGGAGCAAACAGGA